Molecule: transfer RNA, 74 nt
Filed under: Mycobacterium phage Rando14
Lineage: Duplodnaviria; Heunggongvirae; Uroviricota; Caudoviricetes
Description: tRNA-Trp
Rfam family: tRNA
About the family: Transfer RNA (tRNA) molecules are approximately 80 nucleotides in length. Their secondary structure includes four short double-helical elements and three loops (D, anti-codon, and T loops).
Source: RNAcentral
AUGCGGGUAGCUCAAUUGGUAGAGCAGCGGUCUCCAAAACCGCCGGUUGCAGGUUCGAGCCCUGCCCCGUGUGC